This 1077-nucleotide long non-coding RNA is filed under the name Oryctolagus cuniculus (rabbit). RNAcentral describes it as "lncRNA (ENSOCUG00000037281.1)". The record is from RNAcentral. Lineage: Eukaryota; Metazoa; Chordata; Mammalia; Lagomorpha; Leporidae.
CAGGAUGCGUGCCCCCUCCCUGUGGGGCCAGCUGCCCCGACCAAGCUGGGCACAGAGCUAGGCUUCCGGCAGCCGCAGAGGAGCUGGGGCCGGUGGGGCUGAGACAUUGGCCAUCUCUGAUCUUGUGGGUGAAGCUCAAGGUCCCCUUUGGGGCCGGGACCAGACCCAUGCGGGACCCCUCUCCCUGAUACGGCUGCCAGGAGGGCCCAGGGGUGCAGGGACACCCUUCUGCUGGGUCCAACCUUAACUGUGCAUUUUCCAUCACUAUGAAAGGGAGCAAAACAGUAAACCCGGAACAGUCUGCCACCAUCUGUGUCUCCACUGGGUGGUCCCCCUCGUCCCUGGGCUGCGCAUGGCUGACACCUCCCCAUCCCCACCCUGUCUUCCAUCCCCCUCCCACCAGCACCACAAGGGACUUCCAGAAUCUCGGGAUUCAACAGCCACUUGAAUUCCUCAGGUUGGACACUGAGGGUGCUGUCCUCUUUGCUGUUAGCCUCAGGCUGCACAGAAAGUCCUGUCUGUUUGUGGCCAGGAGCCAGGAGCUUCUUCCGGGUCUCCCACGUGGGUGCAGGGACCCAAGCACUUGGACCAUCUUCUACUGCUUUCCCAGGCCAUCAGCAGAGAGCUGGGUGCAACAGGAAAAAAAGAUCAGAUACCAUUUGGGGGGCGGGGGAGUCAGUUGCUGUUUAGGUUCUGAGCCCACUGACGUGUGUGGAUGGCUGAGGUCCAUUUGUCCUCCCUGGGGCCCCUCCAGACCCAGGGCAGGAGAGGAGGGGUCCUGGGGAAACAUGGGGUCCACCAAGGCUGUCCUCUGCGGGACUUCUCAGUGCCUUUACAAUCAGAUGGAGGUGCGCAUAAGCAAUGGGCAGGUAGCCCGACUGGGGACCCCCCGCAGGGUGGGGGCUGCCAUCUUCCCACUGUUCCCAGGGCCCUAUCCAGGGGUUGGGGUGGGGCUGGGGAACACUGAGAAGGGGGCGUCCCUGUCCCCAGUCCUCUCUGGUCUCCACUAGACAGGGCUUCCUGGUGGCACCCAACAGAGGCUGCACUGAUUAGAGGGACCACCAGGUGGUGCUCCGC